This 921-nucleotide ribosomal RNA is filed under the name uncultured archaeon. RNAcentral describes it as "bacterial SSU rRNA". It matches the Rfam family "Archaeal small subunit ribosomal RNA", at positions 1 to 925 of the family's 1478-position model. The record is from RNAcentral.
AUUUUCCGGUUGAUCCUGCCGGAGGCUACUGCUAUUGGGAUUCGACUAAGCCAUGCGAGUCAAGGUGUCUUCGGAUGCCGGCGUACGGCUCAGUAACACGUAGGUAACCUACCCUCAGGACUGAGAUAACCCCGGGAAACUGGGGCUAAUAUUACAUAGAUAAAAGGUACUGGAAUGUUCUUUUAUCCAAAGCUUUUGCGCCUGAGGAUGGGCCUGCGUCCGAUUAGGUUGUUGGUGGGGUAAUGGCCCACCAAGCCUGCGAUCGGUACGGGCAGUGAGAGCUGAAGCCCGGAGUUGGGGACUGAGACAAGGCCCCAGGCCCUACGGGGCGCAGCAGGCGCGAAACCUCUGCAAUGCGGGAAACCGUGACAGGGGGAUCCCAAGUGCUCAUGCAUUGCAUGGGCUGUUCUUUGGUCUAAGUAACCAGAGGAGUAAGGGCUGGGCAAGACCGGUGCCAGCCGCCGCGGUAAUACCGGCAGCUCAAGUGGUAGCCGCGAUUAUUGGGCCUAAAGCGUUCGUAGCCGGAUAAGUAAGUCUUUGGUUAAAUCCUGCAACUCAACUGUGGGAAAUCUAGGGAUACUGCUUGUCUUGAGACCGGGAGAGGUUAGAGGUACUCCUAGGGUAGGGGUGAAAUCCUGUAAUCCUAGGGGGACCACCUGUGGCGAAGGCGUCUAACUGGAACGGGUCUGACGGUGAGGGACGAAACCUAGGGGAGCGAGCCGGAUUAGAUACCCGGGUAGUCCUAGGCGUAAAUGAUGCGAGUUAAGUGUGGGGGCAUCUACGAGAUGGCCCUGUGCUGUAGGGUAGCCGUUAAACUCGCCGCCUGGGGAGUACGGUCGCAAGGCUGAAACUUAAAGGAAUUGGCGGGGGAGCACCACAAGAGGUGGAGGCUGCGGUUCAAUUGGAUUCAACGCCGGGAAU